Long non-coding RNA from Oncorhynchus masou masou (cherry salmon), 230 nucleotides. RefSeq lists it as uncharacterized. The record is from RefSeq and is a predicted model, not a curated record. The transcript is spliced from 3 exons. NCBI's taxonomy places the organism in Eukaryota, Metazoa, Chordata, Actinopteri, Salmoniformes, Salmonidae.
CUUUAUCAAACUGCAUCUGGAUGUCAUCCAGUGCAUCAAUGCAGUUCUCCAGAAAGCAAAGAUGAUGAGCCAAACUCUGAUGCGCAAGGUCCAAAUAGUCUGUUGGCGAGAGCUACAGGACUUUGUGGAAAGGUAUGUCAAUGUUGAAAAGAAGCACCUUCAGAAACAAGCAGGAAUGGGAACGUCAGGUACAAUGCACUUCUUUAAGACGUUCAACACCUGCAUUGAAC